AACGAAUCUUCCCCAAUGCACGAAAGUGUGAGGGAGCGACGCCGCGUGGAGGAUGAAGUCCUUCGGGAUGUAAACUCCUGUCAGGGGUUACCAAGUUCUGAGGAGCGCCAGAGGAAGAGGCGGCUAACUCUGUGCCAGCAGCCGCGGUAAGACAGAGGCCUCGAGCGUUAGGCGGAAUCACUGGGCUUAAAGCGCGUGUAGGCGGAUCGUUAAGUGCCUUGUGAAAUCCUGCGGCUCAACCGCAGAACCGCUGGGCAUACUGGCGAUCUUGGGCCACUCAGGGGUCACUGGAACAAGCGGUGGAGCGGUGAAAUGCGUAGAUAUCGCUUGGAACGCCAAAGGUGAAGACAGGUGACUGGGGGUGUGCCGACGCUGAGACGCGAAAGCCAGGGGAGCAAAC
RNAcentral lists this ribosomal RNA (400 nucleotides) under uncultured bacterium. Its description in RNAcentral is "bacterial SSU rRNA". It matches the Rfam family "Bacterial small subunit ribosomal RNA", at positions 356 to 773 of the family's 1533-position model. The record is from RNAcentral.